AAAAAAAUAAAAACAAUCAUCAAUAUUGUGUUUUCGACACCAUGUCAAAUUGUCAAUAUAUACAGAAGUAUAGAAGUAGGAUAUCGGUUUUACAAAAGCUUACUUUCCAUUUAGGACGAGAAAAAAACGAAAUGAUUGAACCCGAUGAUCAUGAUUUUCGUUGCACAAGGAAACGGACGGGGUACCAGAUGAGUAUGAAUUGAAGAAGCGCGGUACCACCACCACUGCAGGUCUGCAGCAGCAAGGAAGACGCUUUCAUUCGUUGCCCCUGCCUGCCCGCCGGCCGCGGUUUUCCAAAUCAGCUCCUCCUCGUUUGUUUCCGUUCCAACCGCAAAAGUCGGCAGCUCGUCAAUGCCCCAUCUCCCUUCUUUCAGGCCCAUUCCCC
This 385-nucleotide long non-coding RNA is filed under the name Setaria viridis. RNAcentral's name for it is "long non-coding RNA (SVIR_LNC006542)". The record is from RNAcentral. Lineage: Eukaryota; Viridiplantae; Streptophyta; Magnoliopsida; Poales; Poaceae.